Sparus aurata (gilthead seabream) is the source of this 141-nucleotide small nucleolar RNA. The record is from Ensembl. NCBI's taxonomy places the organism in Eukaryota, Metazoa, Chordata, Actinopteri, Spariformes, Sparidae.
GCAUGGCAGAAUUCUGUUUUACUCUUGAAGUAGUAAAAACAGUCAGACACCAUGCUAAAUUAUUGUUUUCACACACUGGCUCAAGAACAGGAUCAGAGUGCUAAUUAUAUGCCUCAUUCUUACGUCAGAGUGAAUACAGAU